CCCAAAGUGUUGGGAUGACAGACAUGAAUCCCUGCACCCAGACUUUUUUUCCUUAAAUGCUCACACUAGUUAAUAAUUUGGCAUUUUAAUGUUUCAGUCAAUUGGUAAUCAACACUGAUUACAGAGAACAGCGUCUUCACCUGGGUGUAAGAUGACUGCUACUUCAGGCCUCGCUUCCCAUCUAGCCCCAGAUCCUGCCAUUCCCCACAACAUCCCAUGCUCCAGUGAAACCUCCUCAGCAUUCCCAGUCUCAUGCAGAUGGCCCACUCCUCCGUGACUUCACACCUGCUGUGUGCUUCCAGAUUUUGUUCCUUGGGCAACCUACUGUAUAUGGCCUCAUGGGGCUCCCUGCUCCCAUCCUCAUCAACUCCUCAAUACCUUUCCAAUCAGCCCGCCUUCCACCACAGUCUAUGCUGAGAAAGGUCUUUGCUCACGUGGUGAGAAUACAGACACAGUUCCUGCCCUCCUGAGGCUCACAUUCCAGUUCUGCAAGCUGAGAAGUCCAAGAUCACGAUGCUGGCUGAUCAAGGUUCCUGGUGAGGACUUUCUUCCUGGUUUGCAGAGAGAGAGAGAGAGAGAGAGAGAGAGAGAGCCAGACAGACAGACGGGUUUCUUCCCCUUUUUAUAAGGUCAUUAAUCUCAUAGUGACAGUGACACCUUCAUGACCUCAUUUAACCCAAAUCACCUCCCAAAGUCUCCACCUCCUGAUACGAUCACAUUGGGGGUUAAGGCUUCAACGUAUACAAUUUGAUGGGGACACAAGCAUUUAACCCAAAGCACCCUCCCACCAUGUCGACAGAGCUGUAGGAGGAAUUUAGCACAGCUGGGAAAAUUUCUCUGGCACAUAAUCAGGCAUUCAUUGUUGGUAAUCUCUAUCAAAAGCUUAUGAAGCAACACAAUGAUGCUGAAUAACAAACAAUUCUAAAUCUCAGUGAUUUAAAUUAACCAUCAUCUAUGCUCAUGCUUCCUGGGCUGCAGGUCAGCUGUGGCGUGGGUGAUCUACGUGGGUACAGCUAGGCACCUCUCCUCCAGGUAUGCCUUGCAGGUGCACGGGUCAGUUGGAAAAACUCUCUUUCAAGCCACAGUUUGUAUUCAGAUCUAUUUUAUCUGUCUCAUUCUGCAGUGAUCAUCACAGGGCAUAGAGCUAUCUGAUUUACAACCUUUUUAAGUUGCGAGUAGCAGCUCUCAAAGUGGUAUGUGUAAACAUGCAAUGCCUUAAGGCCUAGGUUCCAAAUUGAUAUAUGGUCAUUUCUGCCCGCAUUUCACUGGCCAAAAGAGUCCCAUAGUCAAGCUUGACAUCAAUAGGGUGAGAAAGUCAACUCUUGCCAUUGGAGGCCAGUAUGUUUCUGUGUUGGGGGCAGGAGAGGUACUGAAUAUUUGUUAAACAAUCAUUUAAUCUAUCACAACUAUAUUUACAGAAAGUCCUUUACUUUCUGACGUAGGCCUCUACACAUGAAUUAUUUCAAGUUUGCCCCCUUCCUGCUUUUUUUGGUUUUCCCCUGAGUUUGUUAUGAGUAGCCAGAAAGAUCUUCUCUCCUUAGGAAAAAUAUGUAGAAGAUUUAGAAACACCUGACUUUGCAUGAACUUCCAGAAAAAACAGCCAGACGUGGUCCAGUUGAGUCUCUGUCCUGCUGCUUGAGGAAGGGGACCAUGGGACGUGGGUCUAUGGGUCUCAUUUGGAUUUGAGGCCAUGUGUUGAGCCGCCCAGUACAGACCAGACAGCAGAAUGUCACCUCCGCAGAUGUGUACCUGACUUUACUGCUCCGAUUACAGCAUCACUUCUCCCCUGUCACCAACUGGCAACCCACAGCAAAGGAUGUUUUUCUGAUCAUUUUGCACUCAUUAAACGCAGCUGUCACAACAGUGGAUGCGAGGAUGCAUGCAAAACUUUUCUGCCACAUCAAAAUAAAGCUGAAAUGCUUUUUAAAAAAAGA
Non-coding RNA from Macaca mulatta (Rhesus monkey), 1934 nucleotides. NCBI's taxonomy places the organism in Eukaryota, Metazoa, Chordata, Mammalia, Primates, Cercopithecidae. The record is from RefSeq and is a predicted model, not a curated record.